AAUGUUAAUAUUGUCAUCUGCCGACAAGUUGAAAGAUAUGGAAGAUAAGUGUAACUCCGGGGAAUCGCACGGUGCAAAAACCAAAGAACCGGACUUUCUUUUAACAAGCAACACUUACAAAUCUAUUAAAGAAGACAGUUAUUAAACAAGGAAGAAAAAGAAGCUAUAGGCGAAGCGUAUAUACGCACCGAAAGAAUAAAAAAAUGAUGAUGCUGUGACAGAUGAAUAUCUAGAAAGUAGAGCGUCUUUUGUAGGAUCAAGUCUUUCUGCAACAAUUAGAGUAUCUAAGCCUCCAAAAAUUAUCGGUAUUUUUCCUUCGAAUUUAUUUCCAUUUUAAACUAUUCAUUAACUUUUGUAAAUCAAAUAUACCUACGUUACAUAUUAGAUGUUGCCGACGGUUUGACAAACUUGGUUCUUCAAAAACGACUAGUCUACCCUAUGCAGGAUUUAUAUGUCAUUCUAUAAUCCUUCUGGAAACACCGUCCGUAAGUCUAUUGAAAAUGUUUAAGAUCAACCGCUUGUACGGCAAUGGCGUAAUAUAUAUUCGCAAUUGAAUUAUUUCAGGAUUUACGAAGAGAUACGACAAGACUUGCCACAGCCAAAGGUGCAUCAAUCGCUUGUGUAGAUGCCUCUCACAAGAGAAAGAAUGGUCAUUUUGGUCAAUCAAGGACCAAUGGGCCAGAUUUUCUUUCACCAAACACUCUCCUAUGUAUUAAAGAAAACAGUUCUUGAUCGAAAAGAAAAAGAGUUUAUACGCGAAGCGCGUGGCGUACCAGAAGUGUAAAGAAAUUGUGAGGCUGCGACAGAUGAAUGUCCAGAAAGUUGAUCGUCUUUUGUAGGACCAAGUCUUUCUGUAACAAUUGGAGCACUUAAGCUUGCAAAAAUUAUCGGUGUUGCCGGAGGUUUGACAAACUUGCUUUUUCAAAAGUGACGAACACAAUCAACCACUUGUAUGGCAAUGGUGUAAUGUAUAUUCGCAAUUGAAUUAUUUCAGGAUUUACAAAGAGAAACGGCAAGACUUGCCAAAGAUGCAUCAACUCCUGUAGUGAUAUCGAUGCUUCUCAGAAAGAUUCUCCAUUUUUUUUUAUUCCUCUGGCACAUCACGCGUUUCGCAUAUAGCUUCUUUUCUUCUACGCAUAAUAACUCCGCUAGUGAGCAUAUAUAAUGACAAAAUGAAAUAGAUGAUAACCUUGAAUUGUAUACACGAGGAAUAGUCCCGCGUAGACACAGUAAUAACCGUAAGAGUAGAGUAGUCGGUGGAAAAGCAACGAUGUCAGAUACGCAUAAUUGUAAUUUAAAAAAAUGGGUGAAACCUAAUUGUCAUUCCAUUUUAUAUGUUCCUACCUUAUUUAGGUCGAGUUAAUUCGGGAAAAAUGUUUCUUCGUAUUCCUAUAUUGGCUGAUGACAUUAUUCCGGGUCCAUAACUUUAGUAAUGUCCAACAAUCAAUUUGGUAAUCAAACGCCGCGCGUUUGAAAGUUGAGUUUUUGUGGAAUAUUUUUCGAGAGGUUUUUUCGAAUUCGUGUAUUUGUUUAAAAGUUAUCACGCCUUAUAAGUGAGAUAGAACAAAGAAGAUGUAUUUUGAAAUUUUAUUACGAGGAAAAGAAUAAUGCCACUCCAACUCUUGAAAAAAUUUAGAAUCGAUGCGUUAUAAAUGGACAUCGCACAUGGUUAUAUCAAACGUUUCCAAUAUGGAAGAUAUGAUGUAGUGGUGGAAGACAUAGACUAGGAACCAACCAUCGGUCACAAAACAGUUCUACAUCAUUUGAAGAAUGCUGGAUGUAAAAAGAUAUCCAAUGUUCAUGUUCCAUAUGAUCAAAUAGUGAAGCGUUUAAUGGAUUUCUGUCUGCGAAUCGUUAUUAGGACCUAACGAAACCGAUGCACUCUUGAAACGGGCCAUUAUGUGCGAUAAUCUAUGAAAAGGAUCAUGAUCCAUGGAAGGAGAAUCAACCGUUGUCGCGCCGUUCAAACUAUUGAUCAUAAUCUCUUCUCUAAACAAUCGGAAAAUGAUUUGCUUUUGCAUUGAAAUACGAAGAAACCUUUUCCUCUAACUUAAUAUCUUGAUUAGUAAUGUCAUUGGUUGAUAUCAUUCCUUUAUGGAAAUUAACUCGAAUUAUUUCAGUAAUAUAGUCAAAGGUAUUUAUCUUGCUUAACAAUGUGAAUGAAUGACAUUACUGAUAGGAUCAUUAUAUUACAUAUAGAUUAUACACGUAUA
This is a long non-coding RNA of Vespula vulgaris, 2213 nucleotides long. RefSeq lists it as uncharacterized. The record is from RefSeq and is a predicted model, not a curated record. Lineage: Eukaryota; Metazoa; Arthropoda; Insecta; Hymenoptera; Vespidae. The transcript is spliced from 5 exons.